Molecule: ribosomal RNA, 1336 nt
Filed under: uncultured Eubacteriales bacterium
Lineage: Bacteria; Bacillati; Bacillota; Clostridia; Eubacteriales
Description: bacterial SSU rRNA
Rfam family: Bacterial small subunit ribosomal RNA
Source: RNAcentral
GACGAACGCUGGCGGCGUGCCUAACACAUGCAAGUCGAACGGGGUUUGAAAGCUUGCUUUUGAAUCUAGUGGCGCACGGGUGAGUAACGCGUGAGCAACCUACCUGUCAGUAGGGAAUAACAUUUGGAAACAAGUGCUAAUACCUCAUAUUGUACAUUGUUCACAUGAACUAUGUAUGAAAGAAGUAAUUCGCUGAUAGAUGGGCUCGCGUCCGAUUAGCCUGUUGGCGGGGUAAUGGCCCACCAAAGCUACGAUCGGUAGCCGGACUGAGAGGUCGUACGGCCACAUUGGGACUGAGACACGGCCCAGACUCCUACGGGAGGCAGCAGUGGGGGAUAUUGCACAAUGGAGGAAACUCUGAUGCAGCAACGCCGCGUGAAGGAUUAAGGUCUUCGGAUUGUAAACUUCUGUUCUUGGUGAAGAAUUUAAUGACGGUAGCCAAGCAGCAAGCUCCGGCUAACUACGUGCCAGCAGCCGCGGUAAUACGUAGGGAGCUAGCGUUGUCCGGAUUUACUGGGUGUAAAGGGUGCGUAGGCGGCUUGGCAAGUCAGACGUGAAAUUUACAGGCUUAACCUGUAAACUGCGUUUGAAACUGCUUGGCUUGAGUGGAGUAGAGGCAGAUGGAAUUUCCAGUGUAGCGGUGAAAUGCGUAGAUAUUGGAAGGAACACCGGUGGCGAAGGCGGUCUGCUGGGCUUUAACUGACGCUGAGGCACGAAAGCAUGGGUAGCAAACAGGAUUAGAUACCCUGGUAGUCCAUGCCGUAAACGAUGAUUACUAGGUGUGGGGGGUCUGACCCCUUCCGUGCCGGAGUUAACACAAUAAGUAAUCCACCUGGGGAGUACGGCCGCAAGGUUGAAACUCAAAGGAAUUGACGGGGGCUCGCACAAGCAGUGGAGUAUGUGGUUUAAUUCGACGAUACGCGAAAAACCUUACCAGGUCUUGACAUCCGACUAACGAGGUAGAAAUACAUUAGGUGCCUUUCGGGGAAAGUCGUGACAGGUGGUGCAUGGUUGUCGUCAGCUCGUGUCGUGAGAUGUUGGGUUAAGUCCCGCAACGAGCGCAACCCUUGCGGUUAGUUGCUACGUAAGAGCACUCUAAUCGGACUGCCGUUGACAAAACGGAGGAAGGUGGGGAUGACGUCAAAUCAUCAUGCCCUUUAUGACCUGGGCUACACACGUACUACAAUGGCUGUUAACAGAGGGAUGCAAUAGAGCGAUCUCAAGCCAACCCCCAAAAACAGCCUCAGUUCAGAUUGCAGGCUGAAACUCGCCUGUAUGAAGAUGGAAUUGCUAGUAAUCGCGAAUCAGCAUGUCGCGGUGAAUACGUUCCCGGGCC